RNAcentral lists this ribosomal RNA (482 nucleotides) under uncultured bacterium. Its description in RNAcentral is "SSU rRNA". It matches the Rfam family "Bacterial small subunit ribosomal RNA", at positions 26 to 521 of the family's 1533-position model. The record is from RNAcentral.
AGGACGAACGCUGGCGGCGUGCUUAACACAUGCAAGUCGAACGGAAAGGCCCGCUUGCGGGUACUCGAGUGGCGAACGGGUGAGUAACACGUGGGCAACCUGCCCUCAGCUCUGGGAUAACUCCGGGAAACCGGUGCUAAUACUGGAUAUCGACUUCUGCCUCGCAUGGGGUGUUGUUGAAAGUUUUUCGGCUGGGGAUGGGCCCGCGGCCUAUCAGCUUGUUGGUGGGGUGAUGGCCUACCAAGGCGACGACGGGUAGCCGGCCUGAGAGGGCGACCGGCCACACUGGGACUGAGACACGGCCCCAGACUCCUACGGGAGGCAGCAGUGGGGAAUAUUGCGCAAUGGGCGGAAGCCUGACGCAGCGACGCCGCGUGAGGGAUGACGGCCUUCGGGUUGUAAACCUCUUCAGCUCUGACGAAGCGAGAGUGACGGUAGGAGCAGAAGAAGCACCGGCCAACUACGCGCCGAGCAGCCGCGGU